CUGUUGGACUCGAGUGCAGGAGGGGCAAAUGGAAUUCCUAGUGUAGCGGUGGAAUGCGUAGAUAUUAGGAGGAACACCAGUGGCGAAGGCGAUUUGCUGGACUGUAACUGACACUGAGGCACGAAAGCGUGGGGAGCAAACAGGAUUAGAUACCCUGGUAGUCCACGCUGUAAACGAUGAAUACUAGGUGUAGGGGGUAUCGAUUCCCUCUGUGCCGCCGCUAACGCAUUAAGUAUUCCGCCUGGGGACUACGGCCGCAAGGUUGAAACUCAAAGAAAUUGACGGGGACCCGCACAAGCAGCGGAGCAUGUGGUUUAAUUCGACGCAACGCGAAAAACCUUACCAGGCCUUGACAUCGAGUGAAAGUCCAAGAGAUUGGACCCUCCUUCGGGACACGAAGACAGGUGCUGCAUGGUUGUCGUCAGCUCGUGUCGUGAGAUGUUAGGUUAAGUCCUGCAACGAGCGCAACCCUCAUAUGUAGUUGCCAUCAUUAAGUUGGGCACUCUGCAUAGACUGCCGUGGUCAACACGGAGGAAGGUGGGGAUGACGUCAAAUCAUCACGGCCCUUACGGCCUGGGCUACACACGUGCUACAAUGGCUAUUACAAAGAGUUGCAAUACAGUAAUGUGGAGCGAAUCUCAAAAAGAUAGUCUCAGUUCGGACUGUGGGCUGCAACCCGCCCACACGAAGUCGGAGUUGCUAGUAAUCCCGAAUCAGCAUGUCGGGGUGAAUGCGUUCCCGGGUCUUGUACACACCGCCCGUCACGCCAUGGGAGUCGGAAGUGCCCAAAGUCGGUGACCUAACCGCAAGGAAGGAGCAGCCGAAGGCAGGUCGGAUGACUGGGGUGAAGUCGUAACAAGGUAGCCGUAA
RNAcentral lists this ribosomal RNA (870 nucleotides) under uncultured bacterium. Its description in RNAcentral is "bacterial SSU rRNA". It matches the Rfam family "Bacterial small subunit ribosomal RNA", at positions 633 to 1505 of the family's 1533-position model. The record is from RNAcentral.